Molecule: long non-coding RNA, 338 nt
Filed under: Homo sapiens (human)
Lineage: Eukaryota; Metazoa; Chordata; Mammalia; Primates; Hominidae
Description: non-protein coding lnc-EDC3-2:15
Source: RNAcentral
ACUCAGCCUCCUCCUAGCAGGUGGAGUGCUCCCUGGCCUGCCUGGAGCAGGAGAGGCACCAGAUGCAGGGAUCCCAGGGACAGGCUGAGUGGAGGAGGCCAGACCAGAACAUAGAAGACAAAUGGGAAAACUGAGACCAGAGAGCAGAGGAGAGCUUGUUCAGAGUCAUAACUUGAGUUGGGGCCAGGACCCUGCCACAACAUGCCCUGAGGCAUCAACGGUCUGCCAAGACCACCCCAGUGUGGUCUGGAAGCUGGAAGGAGACCCCAGGAUUCUGGACCAAGUGUAUCUACAGGAGAUGCUGGUGCCAGGCCUGCAGAUCCAAGAGCAGAGCUGGG